CACGAAAAAGCCAAACUUCGGGUAACCGAAGGACGGAAAGCUUCGGGUCCACACGUUUGUGGAUAGCCGGGCCGCCUGGA
Molecule: non-coding RNA, 80 nt
Filed under: Desulfatitalea sp.
Lineage: Bacteria; Pseudomonadati; Thermodesulfobacteriota; Desulfobacteria; Desulfobacterales; Desulfosarcinaceae
Description: c-di-GMP sequence
Rfam family: c-di-GMP-I-GGC riboswitch aptamer
Source: RNAcentral